Molecule: unclassified non-coding RNA, 348 nt
Filed under: soil metagenome
Description: partial contains 5.8S ribosomal RNA, internal transcribed spacer 2, and large subunit ribosomal RNA
Rfam family: 5.8S ribosomal RNA (bases 1-120)
Source: RNAcentral
GAUGAAGAACGUAGUGAAAUGCGAUAAGUAAUGUGAAUUGCAGAAUUCAGUGAAUCAUCGAGUCUUUGAACGCACAUUGCGCCCCCUGGUAUUCCGGGGGGCAUGCCUGUCCGAGCGUCAUUGCUGCCCUCAAGCACGGCUUGUGUGUUGGGCCCCCGUCCCCGGUUUCCCCCGGGGACGGGCCCGAAAGGCAGCGGCGGCACCGCGUCCGGUCCUCGAGCGUAUGGGGCUUUGUCACCCGCUCUGUAGGCCCGGCCGGCGCCAGCCGACACCCAACUUUAUUUCUAAGGUUGACCUCGGAUCAGGUAGGGAUACCCGCUGAACAUAAGCAUAUCAAUAAGCGGAGGA